AAAGAAAAUAUUUACUUCCUUCCAAAGACCCAGGUACAGCACGUCUUUCAGUAGUUGAGGGCAUCGCUGGUCUUUGGGUUCUCAGUUGUAACAGUUGAGAUAUCAUAAAAACAUGUUCCUCUGCAUGCUUCAGUACAGCCAAGAGCAUUAGCAAAUCUGCCAGUCCUUUUUGGUAGCCUUAUGUAUUGCAGCACUGGAGAUUUGAUUUUUUUUUUUUCUUUUUCAGAAGAUCCCCUAUAUGGUUUUACUUGUAUCUCGCUGGUUUUUCUGUCAUAAAUGAAACUUUAAAAAAAGUUAAAUUGUAUAACUUGCAAAUUGACUUGCAUUAUUUGAACUGUAACUGCCAAAUAGCUAUAGCAUCUAAUUUAUUAGGUGUACUUAAGCAGUUAGGUAUUUUGUCUAAAUCUUGAAAAAGACGGGCAACUGACUGUUAUGGGGUUUUUUUUCCUGAUAUUUUGAUGGAGUGCUCUGAAGUCCUUUAUUUCUGUCUCGCUUUCAAUGGUGCAUUUCCCUGGCAGUUCAGUAGCCUCUCUCUUGGGCACUGCAGCUGGCCAGAUGUCCAUCCUAAUCAUGUAACACACAAAAAAACCCUAGUCAACUUUUAUAGCUGUGUAUUUUGGAGACAGGUAAUUUAAUGGUAUCAAUUCACAGCUAUGCAAGUUAAACUAAUGCAAAAGGAAAAUCAAAUGCUUUUAUCGUAUAGGUAUUGUUAUUGGAUGUAUAUAAACACGUGCACGCCUUUUUAGUAUAAAGUGAAUUACUGAGAUUUAUUCUUUGUUUUUUAUUUUACUCUUUAAAGUUUUAUGCUUCACUUCCAAUUUUGUUGACCCGGCAAGCCAGACGUGUUAUUUUAAUAGGCUGAAAUACAGUUUGGGACUUUUGGUUUUCAGAUGCGGUGGUGUAACCAUCUCGCGAUGCUCGAUAGAUUCCCCCCCCAGCCCAGCUUUGCCUGCCGGUGGCUAAGAAGACUCACCGUAAGGGGCCGGCCCUGUGCCUGGAGGCUCCUGGCUCUGUCUGCAGCGGGUGCCCCGCAGCUAUUCCAGCUUAUGUGUUGCAGGCCAUCCCAGGUGCCUUUAGCAUCAGUCCGGGGAAAGAGCGCUGCCUCCAGAAGCUCCUGCGGAAGGAGGGGUUCCUGCCUGAGGAGAGCUACAGUCACCCCUGUGGAUAACAAUUGCUUGCUCUUUCCCUCUCCCAGAGGCAGCGCUGAGGACUCGGUGUGGGUUCCUCCCCGGGGAUGUUGUGGACUGCAUCUGGCUCAGGUUUGGGUGGGUUGCCUUUGGCCUCGUUCUCCGAGCGGCAUGGGCGAAAAGGGACAGCUGGAGCGCUUACUGGCUGUGGACAGGAGCUGCUGGGGCUGAAGCUGGAGAGGCCAGAAAAAGGAAAGCAGCUGAAGAAUAAAAUAAAGGGGAUCCAGCCAGCAGCAGCCUCCAGCUGCAGACAGGAGACAGCCUGCCUCUCCGGGUGAGGAAGCAUCCCUCUCAGUAUAGUCCUGAACUAUACUUGGGAACUUCCCCGAGCGUCCGAUUCUGCACACUACCAAAUAAAGCAAUGUCUCCUUCCUAAAUGUGGCCUUUCUGUCUGCAUUUCAGAAGUCAGGAAAAAGAAAUAACACCUCUGUCCUUCCUCCUGCUUUUCUCUUCCCUUUUCUCCCUC
Gymnogyps californianus (California condor) is the source of this 1653-nucleotide long non-coding RNA. RefSeq lists it as uncharacterized. The record is from RefSeq and is a predicted model, not a curated record. The transcript is spliced from 3 exons. NCBI's taxonomy places the organism in Eukaryota, Metazoa, Chordata, Aves, Accipitriformes, Cathartidae.